AUUGAACGCUGGCGGCAGGCCUAACACAUGCAAGUCGAACGAGUGGCGGACGGGUGAGUAAUGUCUGGGAAACUGCCUGAUGGAGGGGGAUAACUACUGGAAACGGUAGCUAAUACCGCAUACCAUCGGAUGUGCCCAGAUGGGAUUAGCUAGUAGGUGGGGUAAAGGCUCACCUAGGCGACGAUCUCUAGCUGGUCUGAGAGGAUGACCAGCAAAACUGGAACUGAGACACGGUCCAGAGUCCUACGGGAGGCAGCAGUGGUGAAUAUUGCACAAUGGGCGCAAGCCUGAUGCAGCCAUGCCGCGUGUGGGAAGAAGGCCUUCGGGUUGUAAAGCACUUUCAGCGGGGAGGCGUUACCCGCAGAAGAAGCACCGGCUAACGCCGGGCCAGCCGCCGCGGUAAUUG
Molecule: ribosomal RNA, 406 nt
Filed under: uncultured bacterium
Lineage: Bacteria
Description: partial 16S ribosomal RNA
Rfam family: Bacterial small subunit ribosomal RNA
Source: RNAcentral